CAUGUUGGACUUGGAUUUGACUUAGGACAAAACUAUCGAUUCUACACCGUCAUUUUCUGAAAUUAUCAGAUUUAGCUCUAGGAGCCGUAAUUUAUUUGUAUCGCAGCAGUUUAUGGGCGGUGGAUACCAAGAAUAGUGUAGAAUGCAUUUAUACUCGUGCUGAGAUGCCGAGUGUAUUUUUACAGUAGUGUACAGACUGUUCCGGACUGUCGGGUGCCGUUGUGGUUGACGGUGGACCCAGUUUGCAGUUUUUGCAUCAGAUGGUGCCGAGGGCACGUGGAUUAUGGUUGUUAGACCAGUGAGACCUUUCUACUUUGAUUACAGCCUGUGAGAGCCUGAUUGAGCUCGACAGAGAUACGCUUGCAUACUCGGUUGGAUAGCGCCCACGAGUGCCACUCCGGAGUCUGGCCUAAUGCUUUUGCGUUGAUGUCGGUUUGUCCUGUUUGGACUUGCUCUCCACUGACGACCUAGCGUGAUGGCAGUUAGUGUAGCUUCGACAGAUGGGACGGGUGUGUUCACAGUCCUUAGUGAGAUUGGGUCAGGAUUUAUAUUUUCUACAGAUUGUUAGUGUUGGAUCAUGAUAGUGUAGCGGCAUUUAGCUGUAGAUUUGUUCCAGCUUUCUUUACUAUCCCUACUUAUUUCUGUAGACUUAGUGCGUAAGCCGCUGAGGUUGGUAGCGGUACCCACUGAGGACUACUUCUUUUUGCAGUAGUUCUCACACCCAGUUGUGGAUCCUUUUUGCAGAGCCUUCUUCUUCGGCUGCUACUGCUGUGGAGAUUGAUCGUGGAAAGAGAGUCGUGAGCUAGAUCCCUUCCCAGUUGCUGCUGAUCUAGAGAUAUAUACCAGCUACAGGUAGUUGUAGUUUUUGGUUCUUAUACAUACUUAUGUUAGUACCUCGCCGGAGCGAGUGUUUUUGUAUCAGGAUAUUAUGUAUGUAUUUGAACCGAUGUUAUUUAUAUAUGUUUUUUUUUUAGCAGUUAUAUACUACUAGUAUAAUUACAGGUACAUGUACAGCUAUCGCUUCGUAUACAGAAAAAUUUUUUUUGUUUGCGGCGGAUUUGUCGACGUGCCCGGUGAAACGAGUAAUUCGGAGCGUGACUAGUUGUUAAUUGUUUUCAUUUAAUAUGCUAAAAAAUAAUUAAAAAUAUUAUAUUUAAUAAACUUGUUCAUAAAUUCCAUAGAAUAUCUAAUUUAGUUAAUAACAAAUUAUAAAUUAUUCAGUUUAUU
This 1227-nucleotide long non-coding RNA is filed under the name Ananas comosus (pineapple). Its description in RNAcentral is "long non-coding RNA (ACOM_LNC028924)". Lineage: Eukaryota; Viridiplantae; Streptophyta; Magnoliopsida; Poales; Bromeliaceae. The record is from RNAcentral.